This 469-nucleotide ribosomal RNA is filed under the name uncultured bacterium. Its description in RNAcentral is "SSU rRNA". It matches the Rfam family "Bacterial small subunit ribosomal RNA", at positions 26 to 518 of the family's 1533-position model. The record is from RNAcentral.
AGGACGAACGCUGGCGGCGUGCCUAACACAUGCAAGUCGAACGGGGGUAGCAAUACCCCAGUGGCGAACGGGUGCGUAACACGUGAAGAACUUGUCCAUCGGCGGGGGAUAGCCGGCCCAACGGCCGGGUAAUACCGCGUACGCUUGCCGGGUGGCAUCACCUGGCAAGGAAAGCAGCAAUGCACCGAUGGAGAGCUUCGCGGCCUAUCAGCUAGUUGGCGGGGUAAUGGCCCACCAAGGCGACGACGGGUAGCUGGUCUGAGAGGAUGACCAGCCACAUUGGGACUGAGACACGGCCCAGACUCCUACGGGAGGCAGCAGUGGGGAAUAUUGCGCAAUGGGGGAAACCCUGACGCAGCGACGCCGCGUGUGGGAUGACGGCCUUCGGGUUGUAACCACUGUCGCGAGGGACGAAAAAAAUGACGGUACCUCGAAAGGAAGCACCGGCUAACUCUGUGCCAGCAGCCGC